Molecule: ribosomal RNA, 1461 nt
Filed under: Acinetobacter calcoaceticus
Lineage: Bacteria; Pseudomonadati; Pseudomonadota; Gammaproteobacteria; Moraxellales; Moraxellaceae
Description: bacterial SSU rRNA
Rfam family: Bacterial small subunit ribosomal RNA
Source: RNAcentral
AUUGAACGCUGGCGGCAGGCUUAAACACAUGCAAGUCGAGCGGAGUGAUGGUGCUUGCACUAUCACUUAGCGGCGGACGGGUGAGUAAUGCUUAGGAAUCUGCCUAUUAGUGGGGGACAACAUUUCGAAAGGAAUGCUAAUACCGCAUACGUCCUACGGGAGAAAGCAGGGGAUCUUCGGACCUUGCGCUAAUAGAUGAGCCUAAGUCGGAUUAGCUAGUUGGUGGGGUAAAGGCCUACCAAGGCGACGAUCUGUAGCGGGUCUGAGAGGAUGAUCCGCCACACUGGGACUGAGACACGGCCCAGACUCCUACGGGAGGCAGCAGUGGGGAUUAAUAUUGGACAAUGGGCGCAAGCCUGAUCCAGCCAUGCCGCGUGUGUGAAGAAGGCCUUAUGGUUGUAAAGCACUUUAAGCGAGGAGGAGGCUACUGAAGUUAAUACCUUCAGAUAGUGGACGUUACUCGCAGAAUAAGCACCGGCUAACUCUGUGCCAGCAGCCGCGGUAAUACAGAGGGUGCAAGCGUUAAUCGGAUUUACUGGGCGUAAAGCGCGCGUAGGCGGCUAAUUAAGUCAAAUGUGAAAUCCCCGAGCUUAACUUGGGAAUUGCAUUCGAUACUGGUUAGCUAGAGUGUGGGAGAGGAUCAGAAUUCCAGGUGUAGCGGUGAAAUGCGUAGAGAUCUGGAGGAAUACCGAUGGCGAAGGAGCCAUCUGGCCUAACACUGACGCUGAGGUGCGAAAGCAUGGGGAGCAAACAGGAUUAGAUACCCUGGUAGUCCAUGCCGUAAACGAUGUCUACUAGCCGUUGGGGCCUUUGAGGCUUUAGUGGCGCAGCUAACGCGAUAAGUAGACCGCCUGGGGAGUACGGUCGCAAGACUAAAACUCAAAUGAAUUGACGGGGGCCCGCACAAGCGGUGGAGCAUGUGGUUUAAUUCGAUGCAACGCGAAGAACCUUACCUGGCCUUGACAUAGUAAGAACUUUCCAGAGAUGGAUUGGUGCCUUCGGGAACUUACAUACAGGUGCUGCAUGGCUGUCGUCAGCUCGUGUCGUGAGAUGUUGGGUUAAGUCCCGCAACGAGCGCAACCCUUUUCCUUAUUUGCCCGAGCGAGUAAUGUCGGGAACUUUAAGGAUACUGCCAGUGACAACUGGAGGAAGGCGGGGACGACGUCAAGUCAUCAUGGCCCUUACGGCCAGGGCUACACACGUGCUACAAUGGUCGGUACAAAGGGUUGCUACCUAGCGAUAGGAUGCUAAUCUCAAAAAGCCGAUCGUAGUCCGGAUUGGAGUCUGCAACUCGACUCCAUGAAGUCGGAAUCGCUAGUAAUCGCGGAUCAGAAUGCCGCGGUGAAUACGUUCCCGGGCCUUGUACACACCCCCGUCACACCAUGGGAGUUUGUUGCACCAGAAGUAGGUAGUCUAACCGCAAGGAGGACGCUUACCACGGUGUGGCCGAUGACUGGGGUG